GGUGUCUCUGCAGAGCCGGAGAGCCCUGCAGCUGCAGUUCUACGCGUGUAAAACUGCAGGAGGCGGAGUCUCGAAAUCAUGUAACCGCCCCCUUUUUUUACUCCUCUUCGUUUUCGUGUUCUUUGGAGAAGAGUUGUCAAUAGUAUGCAAUGGUCUGUAGCGGAGUUUGUUGAUCGAACCGUGAGUAUUAAAUGUGAAUCCACAAUUUAUUUAGCGUCUCCAAAAUCGUUCACUUGAUUUGAAUGAGAAAUGAAUGUGUGGUUGUGCGGACGUUAAUGAUAUUUACCAUGAUAGUCUGGAAGACACGUCGAAUAUUUAUCUUGGUUAAGCCAGCUAAAGCUAUUGUUAGCUUGUCGGAAUUGUAUAACCCGUAGACGACAAGCCGCCAUUAUAUUUACUGAGACUGAAGUACGCUGACAAAUAAUUUUAGCAUGUGUAUCAGAUUGAACAUAAAAAAUGUAUAAACAGUUUAGGCUUUCUGAACCGAGAUGUCCCAUACAUGUUGGAAAUGUACGUAUGCAUUUUUUCGUAUAUUAUAUCAGGUAUUUCUUAGUAUAUCAUUUAUCAUUUAAUUAAUUAUUUUCAAUUGUAUGCAUAUCAUAUGUAAUUGACAUUUAGUCCACAUUGCUGUUUAUCGCGCUGCAGAAGAGAAACUACUUGUUGAUGUCAUUCUGCAGUCCACAGGAGCUGAGCAGCAUUUGGUGGUACUUUGUUCACACACCAUACAAAAUAACUCACAGCAGAGCUUCGGUUUGGUGAUUUGCCUUUUCUAAUUACCACAUGAUUGUUCUCUGUUUUGUCUUUGUUUGUCCACAGGAUGUACUUCAAGGGAAGCCCUCACACUGGAUAAGACUGGAGUCGUCAGUCAAGGUGCCUGUGUACCUUGACAGCAGUGACAACCAGGACCGUCUUUUUAAUUUUUUGUUUUCAGUGCUGCAGAGAACAAACACACAACUGUCCUUCAGUAAUCCCAUCAAGUUCAUCAUGGAUGUUCUUUUUCCAGAGGUAUUUCGAGCCCAGUUCUUUUUGUUUUCCAUCACAGUUUUUUCUUUCAGGUUUUUCAGUUUCAAAUAUUAAUUUACCCAGCAGUGAUUAUUUUCAUUUCCUAUUGUAGUGAAGUGGAAGAAUUCUGUCGGUCAAUUGAAAAGAAAAUGAAGAGGGAAGGAAACCUCUGAAUGGUAUGUAGAGCUGUUACAUACUUCACAAUCUGGGCUUUAAAUAUCUAAGUCAAAUGUCAAACAUUUUAUUUCUAUCAUGUAUCUUUCUUUCAGGACUCAUCCAUCCUGAUAAUUCACAUGAGGCUGCACAAGUCCUGCAACAAAAUCCUCAAUUUGUUAAUAAAAAAAUAUGUUUACUACAAGAUGUGUUGUUUGUUUCUGAAGUGAUUAUGGUAUGUUUUAGACCAAUUUUACAAGGUUCAGCAUGCUUCUAUGAUAUUAGGACAACAUCAUGACUCCAUUCAAUGCUAUAGAAAGAUAAUUAACUACUCUAAUAAUGAGAGAAAAGAACUUGCCCCCAUCAAGGGACUUCAAACCUGCAUUCCAUAUGAAUUUAGACUCUUGUGAUGGUUGUCUCCCAUUUCCUGAUGCUGCUUUUCAGACAUGGCUCCAUCUUCCUCCUGUUUCUCCCAACAACCACUCAAGUCACAAAGAACUGCUCUUUACCUUAAGAUUAAAACACUUAGCCACUUUGACAAAAGGCUAAUUCUUGGUGGCUUUAUGAUCAAAGGCUUCUCCAUGGCGACAGCCUUUUUGCACAGCUUUGUUCUUGAUAGAAGACAUUUUUUUGUAUACGUUAAGAGCCAAUCAUAUUUUUUUGUUGAUCACCACAAAGAAUUACCUGGAAUGACAAUACUAUGAAAUUUUCACUCAAAGGGGUCAAAUUGUCAUCAAAUGUAAUGAAUAAAUAAUAAAAAGGCAAAGCCGGUCCCUACAGGGCUUCAAGCACUGCACAGCUUGCUUUGGCUCGGGCAUUUAAAACACUGGGUCCAGAAAUAAAUAUUUUUUUAUUACAUUGAAAUUAGAUUACUCCUAACUGUUUUGGAUGGAAUAAACCUAAAUUCUACAAGGUGUUUUGGGUUAACCAAACCUUAAAUACUGACUGUCAGCUCAUAUUCCGUUUUUUUUUCCAGCAAAAUAACACAUUUUAUCCAUGUAAAGAAGUCCAAUUACUGAACUGCAGCACCUGCAUUAGCACUGACCUACCAGCAUGGGGCGCUAUCACGUGUAGAACUGCAGCAUCUGCAUUAGCACUGACCUACCAG
This 2263-nucleotide long non-coding RNA is filed under the name Xyrichtys novacula (pearly razorfish). Lineage: Eukaryota; Metazoa; Chordata; Actinopteri; Labriformes; Labridae. The record is from RNAcentral.